GUGUCGCCUGUCAGAAGGUCUUGGCCGCGUCGCAGUCCGCCGCCCGCCUCCCUCUAGUCAUGACGCCCUCCCCUUCCUUCCUCCUCCUUCUUCUGCUUCUGCUGAGCCUCCAGGGGCAGCCUGCGCAGGCCGAGGAGGAGGAUACGACCCUUGAGUUGGUGCAGAUGCUUUACCGGCAUGGGGACCGUUCACCCAUCCUCAUGUACCCCACAGACCCCCACAAAAAUGUCUCUGCCCUCUGGCCUGCAGGACUCGGCCAGCUCACUAAGAGAGGUAAAGUCAUGCAGUAUGGGUUAGGACGGUGGCUGCGGAAUCGGUAUGAGGCACUAGUGGGGCCCGCUUGGGUGCCGGGAGAGUUGAACGUUCUUAGCACUGAUGUUGACCGCACCCUCAUGUCUGCUGCAUGCAACCUGGCCAGCUUCUACUACCCAAAGGAGCCCAAUGAGCGCUUUGAGGCAGACCUCCCCUGGGUGCCCACGCCCAUCCACACUGUGCCCGCUGCAUAUGACAAGCUCCUUAGCGUGGACGAGGCAUGUCCUAGGGUUUUCUUGGAGGAGAAGCGGGUUCAAGAACUGCCUGAGGUGAAGAAAGUGAUUGAGGCCAACCAGGACCUCUUCAAGUUUGUCACUGAAAAAUCUGGUGUAACAGUGGACAACGUUACCACCUUAAGCUACCUCUUCGAUACUCUUUACAUCGAGUCUCUCUACAACCUGACACUGCCAAACUGGGCAAAGGAAGUGUAUGACAGGAUGAAGGAAAUCAAUAACUUCAGCUUCAAGCUAAUGGCAUACACCCAAGAGCUUAAACGUCUCAGGGCAGGGCCGCUUAUCAAGGAAUUUGGCCACAACAUGAAGGUGAGGACUGCUGGUAGUGCUUCUCAGACCAAGAUGUUCAUGUACUCCGGCCACGACAAGACUGUAGCCUCAUUGCUGGAGGGCCUUGGAGUGUUUAAUGGGGUGGCACCUCCCUACAUUGCCACUGUCCUGGUGGAGCUGCACAGGGUCAAUGACCAGCACUAUGUGAAGAUGUACUACUGCAAUGACACCGCCAUGACGGAGGCUCCUCACCCCCUCAUCCUGCCAGGCUGCUCAGAGAGGUGCCCUCUGGAUAAGUGGCUGGCACUUACAGCCUCAGUAGUGCCACAGAAUAUGGACAAGGAGUGCCACUCCCCCUCCCCCUUUGACCUUCCUCUCAAUGCCUUAGCUGGUGGUAAGCACUAAGACACAGUUAAACACACAUACACACAACAAGACUCAGAUGAGGAACCCCGCCACUAGUGCUGCAAUUGCUCUAGGGGUGCUGCUGCUCAUCCUGGUGACUUACAACCUCAUCACACGGCACCACCAGAAGAGCCACUUUGCCUACCAAGCCGUCCCGAGCUCUAGCCCCUAACUCAGGCCAGGCCACAGGGGAGUGCUCAAGGAGCCAUCACACCAGCCAGUGUUCCAGCUCAUCACCUGCCACAUGAGUUGCCUACUGAAGUGGGAAGGUGUUGAAAAUUAUGUCACCAUUUCUUGUGUGAAAUGUGUCAGGUAAAUUUUUUUAUUGGUGUGAUGGCAACCACAGUUGUGAUUUUCGAUGUUUUAUUUUUAUAUCAUGUCCGAGCCGGUGAGAACAACAUUACAUGUGUGUGGGCAAUUUUAGAGUUGUGUAAUGGUUGCAAUAUUUUUGUUGUCCAGUAUUUAUUUCUGAAGUGUUGUUCAUAGGUUUUAGUCUUUUAUAUGCAAAGAUUUUUUUUAAUAUUUAAUGGAUGUCCUCUUUUAUGGUACAUAUAUUUUAUUUUUAAGGUUGUGAUGAAAUUUGUUGGCACCCACAUCUUGACUUAUGUUGUAUGGAGCCAGAUCAUAUAUAUAUAUAUAUAUA
Molecule: RNA transcript, 1863 nt
Organism: Eriocheir sinensis (Chinese mitten crab)
Lineage: Eukaryota; Metazoa; Arthropoda; Malacostraca; Decapoda; Varunidae
Gene name: prostatic acid phosphatase-like
Exons: 9
Source: RefSeq, a predicted model, not a curated record